Molecule: ribosomal RNA, 268 nt
Filed under: uncultured Gammaproteobacteria bacterium
Lineage: Bacteria; Pseudomonadati; Pseudomonadota; Gammaproteobacteria
Description: partial 16S small subunit ribosomal RNA
Rfam family: Bacterial small subunit ribosomal RNA
Source: RNAcentral
UAUCCUUAUUUGCCAGCGCGUAAAGGCGGGAACUAUAGGGAGACUGCCGGUCAAAAACCGGAGGAAGGCGGGGACGAGGUCAAGUCAUCAUGGCCCUUAUAGGUUGGGCUACACACGUGCUACAAUGGGAUGUACAGAGGGUUGCUAAAGCGCGAGCUGGAGCCAAACCCUUAAAGCAUUUCGUAGUCCGGAUUGGAGUCUGCAACUCGACUCCAUGAAGUCGGAAUCACUAGUAAUCGCGAAUCAGAAUGUCGCGGUGAAUACGUUC